GACGAACGCUGGCGGCGUGCUUAACACAUGCGAGUCGAACGGUGAAGCUCCAGCUUGCUGGAGUGGAUCAGUGGCGAACGGGUGAGUAACACGUGAGCAACCUGCCCCUGACUCUGGAAUAAGCGCUGGAAACGGCGUCUAAUACUGGAUACGAGAAGGGUCCGCAUGGGCACUUUCUGGAAAGUUUUUCGGUUGGGGAUGGGCUCGCGGCCUAUCAGCUUGUUGGUGAGGUAAUGGCUCACCAAGGCGACGACGGGUAGCCGGCCUGAGAGGGCGACCGGCCACACUGGGACUGAGACACGGCCCAGACUCCUACGGGAGGCAGCAGUGGGGAAUAUUGCACAAUGGGCGAGAGCCUGAUGCAGCGACGCCGCGUGAGGGAUGACGGCCUUCGGGUUGUAAACCUCUUUCAGCAGGGAAGAAGCGAAAGUGACGGUACCUGCAGAAGAAGCACCGGCUAACUACGUG
RNAcentral lists this ribosomal RNA (468 nucleotides) under uncultured bacterium. RNAcentral's name for it is "partial 16S ribosomal RNA". It matches the Rfam family "Bacterial small subunit ribosomal RNA", at positions 28 to 507 of the family's 1533-position model. The record is from RNAcentral.